Molecule: non-coding RNA, 213 nt
Organism: Pelobates cultripes (western spadefoot toad)
Lineage: Eukaryota; Metazoa; Chordata; Amphibia; Anura; Pelobatidae
Source: the annotation of a GenBank genome assembly
UUGCAAUCCUCAUCUGUGAUGGGAUUGGCAGUAGGGUCUUCUAUAUGUCUAUAGAAUAUGCCUAUGACGGGAUCAUUCUUUUGACUAGUAAUCAGGUCCUCACUAGGAGCUUCUUGACUCCAUUGCACGACAUUUAAGUCGGCAUUAUCUCUAGCCUGUCGUCUUGUUAUGGCUUCAACAUGAAUUGAACCCAUAAGAUCAUCAAUGUUUAGG